AACGAACGCUGGCGGCAUGCCUAACACAUGCAGGUCGAACGAAGGCUUCGGCCUUAGUGGCGCACGGGUGCGUAACGCGUGGGAAUCUGCCCUUUGGUUCGGAAUAACAGCUGGAAACGGCUGCUAAUACCGGAUGAUGACGAAAGUCCAAAGAUUUAUCGCCAGAGGAUGAGCCCGCGUUGGAUUAGGUAGUUGGUGGGGUAAAGGCCUACCAAGCCGACGAUCCAUAGCUGGUCUGAGAGGAUGAUCAGCCACACUGGGACUGAGACACGGCCCAGACUCCUACGGAAGGCAGCAGUGGGGAAUAUUGGACAAUGGGCGCAAGCCUGAUCCAGCAAUGCCGCGUGAGUGAUGAAGGCCCUAGGGUUGUAAAGCUCUUUUACCCGGGAAGAUAAUGACUGUACCGGGAGAAUAAGCCCCGGCUAACUCCGUG
RNAcentral lists this ribosomal RNA (433 nucleotides) under uncultured bacterium. RNAcentral describes it as "partial 16S ribosomal RNA". It matches the Rfam family "Bacterial small subunit ribosomal RNA", at positions 29 to 507 of the family's 1533-position model. The record is from RNAcentral.